RNAcentral lists this long non-coding RNA (1030 nucleotides) under Capsicum annuum. Its description in RNAcentral is "long non-coding RNA (CANN_LNC016620)". Lineage: Eukaryota; Viridiplantae; Streptophyta; Magnoliopsida; Solanales; Solanaceae. The record is from RNAcentral.
AGGAAAACAACCAAUAGAAAUAAAAAUCUAAGAAUACAUAAAAAUACAAGACUAAAACUAAUACUCCAAGAAUACGAAAAAGAAAAACACUCAAACUGCCUACUAAAAUGCAAUCCUAAUUCUCAACCUCCACACCCUCUAAUUAUCCUACUCUCCUAAUUCUCGACCUACAAACCUACUAUCCUAAUUCUCGACCUCCACAUCCUCCUAUUAUCCUACUCUCCUAAUUCUCGACCUACUAAACUACUAUCCUAAUUCUCAACCUCUACACCCUGCAAUUAUCCUACUCUCCUAAUUCUCGACCUACUAAACGUCCACACCCUCCUAUUAUCCUACUCUCCAAACCUACUUGCUACUUCCCCGGGAGUAGUGGUAUGGACUGCGUACAUCUUACCCUCCCCAGACCUCACUAUGUAGGAAUACACUGGGUUUGUUGUUGUUGACACCCUCCUAUUAUCCUACACUCCUAAUUCUCGAUCUACUAACCUACUAUCCUAAUUCUCAACCUCCACACCCUCCUAUUAUCCUACUCUCCUAAUUCUCGACCUACUAAACGUCCACACCCUCCUAUUAUCCUACUCUCCAAACCUACUUGCUACUUCCCCGGGAGUAGUGGUAUGGACUGCGUACAUCUUACCCUCCCCGGACCUCACUAUGUGGGAAUACACUGGGUUUGUUGUUGUUGACACCCUCCUAUUAUCCUACGCUCCUAAUUCUCGAUCUACUAACCUACUAUCCUAAUUCUCAACCUCCACACCCUCCUAUUAUCCUACUCUCCUAAUUCUCGACCUACUAACCUACUAUCCUAAUUCUCAACCUACAUUGUUGACACCCUCCUAUUAUCCUACACUCCUAAUUCUCGAUCUACUAACCUACUAUCCUAAUUCUCAACCUCCACACCCUCCUAUUAUCCUACUCUCCUAAUUCUCGACCUACUAAACGUCCACACCCUCCUAUUAUCCUACUCUCCAAACCUACUUGCUACUUCCCCGGGAGUAGUGGUAUGGACUGCGUACAUCUUACCCUCCCC